CCUACGGGAGGCAGCAGUGAGGAAUAUUGGUCAAUGGUCGGGAGACUGAACCAGCCAAGCCGCGUGAGGGAUGAAGGUACAGAGUAUCGUAAACCUCUUUUGUCAGGGAACAAAGGCGGGGACGUGUCCCCGGAUGAGUGUACCUGAAGAAAAAGCAUCGGCUAACUCCGUGCCAGCAGCCGCGGUAAUACGGAGGAUGCGAGCGUUAUCCGGAUUUAUUGGGUUUACAGGGGGCGCAGGCGGUCUGGUAAGUCAGCGGUAAAAGCCCGGGGCUCACCCCCGGCCCGCCGUUGAAACUGGCAGUCUCGAGUUGGAGAGAAGUAUGCGGAAUGCGCGGUGUAGCGGUGAAAUGCAUAGAUAUCGCGCAGAACUCCGAUUGCGAAGGCAGCAUGCCGGCUCCACACUGACGCUGAGGCACGAAAGCGUGGGUAUCGAACAGGAUUAGAUACCCCAGUAGUC
This 459-nucleotide ribosomal RNA is filed under the name uncultured bacterium. Its description in RNAcentral is "partial 16S ribosomal RNA". It matches the Rfam family "Bacterial small subunit ribosomal RNA", at positions 338 to 795 of the family's 1533-position model. The record is from RNAcentral.